Molecule: non-coding RNA, 30 nt
Filed under: Homo sapiens (human)
Lineage: Eukaryota; Metazoa; Chordata; Mammalia; Primates; Hominidae
Source: RNAcentral
UAAAAUGUAUAAAAGCAAGCUGUGGGCCAG